UGUACGUUUCUAAAACAUUCAUAUAUAUUUUAACUAAUCAUCAACAUAUCACGUAUUGCUCACGGACGUUCCUGUGUCCAGAUAACGACAAGAAUCACGUUAUACUUAUUAAUCCUCGAUGUCUCGAUUGAAUAAUUAAUAUAACGGCUAAAUUGUAUUAUUUAAACUCCGAUGUCUCGAAACAUUUGAAUANNNNNNNNNNNNNNNNNNNNGUGAAUAUUAAAAACCUAAAUCUAUGUCUAGAGUUUUAGGAUUUUUAAUAAGUGAUUAUCUUUUCCAUUUGAUUCAAAGUGAAAUAUGUCUAUAACAAUUCAAAUCUUAAAGAUAAACAUGUAAAUCAAAGAUAACACUAAGUUGAUGAUAAAUUAAAACAUAUAUAACAUGAUUAAGAGUUGUACAUAUUUAUGAAUGAGCUACACCUAAUCCCAACAACAAAAGAUUUAGCCACUCAUUGUCAUGGUGGUAAACUUACAAAUGUGGAAAGAGGAACAAAGAGUGCACAUCAAUCCCUUGAUCUCUCAAGUUGGAUGGAUCCACCUUUUCUUGCCUAUGACCUAAGCUUAAUUCUAAUUUAAGUGCUCUGUCUUUGAACUCUCUGAAU
Molecule: long non-coding RNA, 601 nt
Filed under: Trifolium pratense (red clover)
Lineage: Eukaryota; Viridiplantae; Streptophyta; Magnoliopsida; Fabales; Fabaceae
Description: long non-coding RNA (TPRA_LNC004871)
Source: RNAcentral